Molecule: ribosomal RNA, 1230 nt
Filed under: uncultured organism
Description: bacterial SSU rRNA
Rfam family: Bacterial small subunit ribosomal RNA
Source: RNAcentral
CUAACACAUGCAAGUCGAGCGAAGACUUCGGUCUUAGCGGCGGACGGGUGAGUAACGCGUGGGAACGUGCCCUUCACUACGGAACAGUCCCGGGAAACUGGGUUUAAUACCGUAUACGCCCUUCGGGGGAAAGAAUUUCGGUGAAGGAUCGGCCCGCGUCUGAUUAGGUAGUUGGUGGGGUAACGGCCUACCAAGCCUACGAUCAGUAGCUGGUUUGAGAGGAUGAUCAGCCACACUGGGACUGAGACACGGCCCAGACUCCUACGGGAGGCAGCAGUGGGGAAUCUUAGACAAUGGGGGCAACCCUGAUCUAGCCAUGCCGCGUGAGUGACGAAGGCCCUAGGGUCGUAAAGCUCUCUCACCAGGGAAGAUAAUGACGGUACCUGGAGAAGAAACCCCGGCUAACUCCGUGCCAGCAGCCGCGGUAAUACGGAGGGGGUUAGCGUUGUUCGGAAUUACUGGGCGUAAAGCGCGCGUAGGCGGACUGUUAAGUCAGGGGUGAAAUCCCGGGGCUCAACCCCGGAACUGCCCUUGAUACUGGCAGUCUCGAGUUCGAGAGAGGUGAGUGGAACUCCGAGUGUAGAGGUGAAAUUCGUAGAUAUUCGGAAGAACACCAGUGGCGAAGGCGGCUCACUGGCUCGAUACUGACGCUGAGGUGCGAAAGUGUGGGGAGCAAACCAGGAUUAGGUACCCUGGUAGUCCACACCGUAAACGAUGAAUGCCAGACGUCGGGGCAGCAUGCUUGUGUCGGUGUCACACCCGGCAGGAAUAAGCACUUCCGGCGUGGGGAGUACGCACGCAUAGGUUCAUACUCGAGAAGGAAUUGACGGGGGCCACGCACAAGCGAUGGAGCAUGUGGUUUAAUUCGAAGCAACGCGGCAGUACCUUACCAACCCUUGACAGCCUGAUCGCAGCUUACCAGAGAGGCUUUCAUUCAGGUCGGAUGGAUCAGAGACAGGUGCUGCAUGGCAGUAGUCAGCUCGUGUCGUGAGAUCGUUCGAUUAAGUCCGGCAACGAGCGCAACCCACACCCUUAGUUGCCAGCAGUUCGGCUGACUACUCUAGGGGAACUGCCCGUGAUAAGCGGGAGGAAGGUGUGGAUGACGUCAAGUCCUCAUGGCCCUUACGGGUUGGGCUACACACGUGCUACAAUGGCAGUGACAAUGGGUUAAUCUCAAAAAGCUGUCUCAGUUCGGAUUGUCGUCUGCAACUCGACGGCAUGAAGUCGGAA